UACGUAGGGGCUAGCGUUAUCCGGAAUUACUGGGCGUAAAGGGUGCGUAGGUGGUUUCUUAAGUCAGAGGUGAAAGGCUACGGCUCAACCGUAGUAAGCCUUUGAAACUGAGAAACUUGAGUGCAGGAGAGGAGAGUAGAAUUCCUAGUGUAGUGGUGAAAUGCGUAGAUAUUAGGAGGAAUACCAGUUGCGAAGGCGGCUCUCUGGACUGUAACUGACACUGAGGCACGAAAGCGUGGGGAGCAAACAGGAUUAGAUACCCGCGUAGUCCCUGA
RNAcentral lists this ribosomal RNA (275 nucleotides) under uncultured prokaryote. RNAcentral describes it as "partial 16S ribosomal RNA". It matches the Rfam family "Bacterial small subunit ribosomal RNA", at positions 524 to 800 of the family's 1533-position model. The record is from RNAcentral.